CUGGAUAACCUUAAUGAUUUCUUUUCUAUGAGCUAUUCCGCUGAGUCAGCUUUGACCUGGCUGGGUGCUCACCUGCAUUAUUCCAGAUGUGACCAUGGAAAUUCCACAGGGAAAGCAACCCUAGGGAAGAAGGUCUUGCUGGCUUCAUGUCUAAAAACAAAAUAAAAAUCAAGUAAGAUUCCUCGAGUUUUUCUUUUGCACUAAGGUCU
Molecule: long non-coding RNA, 209 nt
Filed under: Zonotrichia albicollis (white-throated sparrow)
Lineage: Eukaryota; Metazoa; Chordata; Aves; Passeriformes; Passerellidae
Description: lncRNA (ENSZALG00000013468.1)
Source: RNAcentral